Molecule: small nuclear RNA, 20 nt
Filed under: Arabidopsis thaliana (thale cress)
Lineage: Eukaryota; Viridiplantae; Streptophyta; Magnoliopsida; Brassicales; Brassicaceae
Description: snRNA_02447
Source: RNAcentral
AUCUUUUCUAGUCCCAACCA